Impatiens glandulifera is the source of this 476-nucleotide long non-coding RNA. RefSeq lists it as uncharacterized. NCBI's taxonomy places the organism in Eukaryota, Viridiplantae, Streptophyta, Magnoliopsida, Ericales, Balsaminaceae. The transcript is spliced from 3 exons. The record is from RefSeq and is a predicted model, not a curated record.
AAGAUUGUAGGACAAGCAGGAAACAGGACUGUGCCCCUUAGAUAUAUGCUGGUCAGUACCACACUUUUCAAGGGUUACCAUCCAAAUUACCAAAAUGUAAUAGAUGAAGAUUUCUCUUGAUCCUUACAGUUAUGGUUGGACGAUUUGGGCAGCUUGUACAUAUGCAACCAGUUUCUCAUAUUUUCAUUCUGAAAACUGUGAGUGGAGGGAUUCCGCGGGUUGUAGCCUUGUUUCUUCGAUUCUUUUUCGAACUUCAGGGUUUCUUGGUGCUAGAUAUUGUCGAGCAGAGAGCAGGAAUAGGGCGUCAACAUAUUCUUCAGUUUCAAUCUAGGUAAACUUAGAAUUUUGGACUUUUCUGUAAUUGUUAUUGAUCUAAUAGAAAUUGGAAUAGUUUUUUUAUUUAGAGUUCAAUUUCAUAUUGAUUUUUGUUCAUGAUUCUUUUGAGUUUGAAAUAUCAGUAGGUUAAUUUUGAUUGA